Molecule: ribosomal RNA, 357 nt
Filed under: uncultured bacterium
Lineage: Bacteria
Description: bacterial SSU rRNA
Rfam family: Bacterial small subunit ribosomal RNA
Source: RNAcentral
AAUCAACGCUGGCGGCGUGCCUAACACAUGCAAGUCGAACGCGAAAACCCCGCAAGGGUUAGUAGAGUGGCAAACGGGUGAGUAACACGUGGGUGACCUGCCUUCGAGUGGGGGAGUAACGUCCCGAAAGGGAACGCUAAUACCGCAUAAUAUCCUGCCUUUUAAGAGGUGGACAUCAAAGCUGGGGAGUCGCAAGACCUAGCGCUUGAAGAGGGGCCCGCGCCUGAUUAGCUAGUUGGGGGGUAAUGGCUCACCAAGGCAACGAUCAGUAUCCGGCCUGAGAGGGCGGACGGACACACUGGGACUGAGACACGGCCCAGACUCCUACGGGAGGCAGCAGUGGGGAAUUGUUCGCAA